CCUACGGGAGGCAGCAGUGAGGAAUAUUGGUCAAUGGACGAGAGUCUGAACCAGCCAAGUAGCGUGAAGGAUGACUGCCCUAUGGGUUGUAAACUUCUUUUAUAUGGGAAUAAAAUGUUCCACGUGUGGGAUUUUGUAUGUACCAUAUGAAUAAGGAUCGGCUAACUCCGUGCCAGCAGCCGCGGUAAUACGGAGGAUCCAAGCGUUAUCCGGAUUUAUUGGGUUUAAAGGGUGCGUAGGUGGAUUGUUAAGUUAGUUGUGAAAGUUUGCGGCUCAACCGUAAAAUUGCAUUUGAUACUGGCAGUCUUGAGUAUAGUAGAGGUGGGCGGAAUUCGUGGUGUAGCGGUGAAAUGCUUAGAUAUCACGAAGAACUCCGAUUGCGAAGGCAGUUCACUGGACUGCAACUGACACUGAGGCUCGAAAGUGUGGGUAUCAAACAGGAUUAGAUACCCUAGUAGUC
RNAcentral lists this ribosomal RNA (460 nucleotides) under uncultured bacterium. RNAcentral describes it as "partial 16S ribosomal RNA". It matches the Rfam family "Bacterial small subunit ribosomal RNA", at positions 338 to 795 of the family's 1533-position model. The record is from RNAcentral.